UACAUACUGUGCGAACGUUAUUCGGAUUUACUGGUCUUAAAGGGUGCGUAGGCGGCUUGUUAAGUAGGGUGUGAAAGCCCCCAGCUCAACUGGGGAAUUGCAUUCUAUACUGGCGAGCUAGAGUGAGAUAGGGUUGUGUGGAACUGCCAGUGGAGCGGUGAAAUGUGUUGAUAUUGGCAGGAACGCCGGUGGCGAAAGCGACACAUUGGAUCUCAACUGACGCUGAGGCACGAAAGCCAGGGGAGCGAACGGG
Molecule: ribosomal RNA, 253 nt
Filed under: uncultured bacterium
Lineage: Bacteria
Description: partial 16S ribosomal RNA
Rfam family: Bacterial small subunit ribosomal RNA
Source: RNAcentral